ACGGAAGGCAGCAGUGGGGAAUAUUGGGCAAUGGGGGAAACCCUGACCCAGCAACGCCGCGUGGAGGAAGAAGGUCUUCGGAUCGUAAACUCCUGUCCUGAGAGACGAGAAGAAGACGGUAUCUUAGGAGGAAGCCCCGGCUAACUACGUGCCAGCAGCCGCGGUAAUACGUAGGGGGCAAGCGUUGUCCGGAAUGAUUGGGCGUAAAGGGCGCGUAGGCGGCCCGGUAAGUCUGAAGUGAAAGUCCUGGCUUCAAGUUGGGAAUUGCUUUGGAUACUGUCGGGCUUGAGUGCAGGAGAGGUUAGUGGAAUUCCCGGUGUAGCGGUGAAAUGCGUAGAGAUCGGGAGGAACACCAGUGGCGAAGGCGACUAACUGGACGAUAACUGACGCUGAGGCUCGAAAGCGUGGGGAGCAAACAGGAUUAGAUACCCUGGUA
RNAcentral lists this ribosomal RNA (436 nucleotides) under uncultured bacterium. RNAcentral describes it as "partial 16S ribosomal RNA". It matches the Rfam family "Bacterial small subunit ribosomal RNA", at positions 341 to 792 of the family's 1533-position model. The record is from RNAcentral.